GGAAAUUUUAAGGGAAGUGCGGGUUGGGAGACUGAAAGUUUCAAGGAGAUGGGGGACAAUGAGAGAGAGAUCCGCCUCUGAGCUCGCUGUUGUGUAAACCUUUAAGUUAGACAGAAAAUACAGGGUUCGGGAACGGGGCGUUUCGGAGAUGGGUUGAAGGGGUCGGGACUUCGAAAUUCCUAUAAGUUGUUUUGAGGUUGUAUCUGCAUAGUCUGAAACCCAGGGAGAAAGGAGUCCCGAGAGAGAACUUUCAGAAGAGUAAUUGAAGAGCGCCAAUUCAAGGGGCACAUUCGCAUUCUUUCUCUACAGGAUUUACAAGUGAAAGUUCCUUUAUUGCUUCCAGGGAGAGCAAAGAAAAUUAAGCGUAGCAGAUUUUAUUUGCAGUCAUGGAGAUUAGUGAAUAUGGUGUUAUGACUUUAACUGUGGCUGAACCAAGUUGUGCUGCCAUCUAAAUUUCGUUCAAGCCCGAGUCACUUUUUCAUGUGGGAACUCGAGGAAGGCAUUGCAUUAAAUGGCGGCACACUUCACAAGCAAGACUUCAAUCAGAAGUGACGUUGAUUUGACAAUGCCUUGACGAGCCAACAACAUGCUGAUAGUCAUUCGAGGAUCGCCGUGCAUUAGCAGAUAAAUGGGUUGAUAAAUUAAAGUCACAGUGGAACCAAAUUGAGUGAUGUCAGCACGCAUUAUUCAACACAUGGCUUCAUUUUCUUUCCUUUGUCAUGCCAGCAAAAGGCAUACAGCAAUGGAUAAAUAGGAAUUUCGUUAAAUAUUGGGUAGACCAAAGCCAUCACCCUUAAUUAACUGACUACUGUGAGACUUAACACGGCUGGAUGCCAAAAAGUUGCUAAUGUUUUGUUCUUGUAUUUUGAUUAUGACUCCAUAUUCUUGGUCACAAAGAUCAAUUAAUUUCAACUGUGUAUUGUCCAUCUGUCUUUACCUCUUGUUGUCUUCUGUCUUUACCUCUCGUUGUCUUGGUGUAGCAGCCAGCAUAAUCAAAGACCCCACCCACCCGGGACAUUCUCUCUUCUCUCCUCUUCCAUCGGGUAGAAGAUACAGGAGCCUGAGGGCACGUACCACCAGACUUAAGGACAGCUUCUAACCCACUGUGAUAAGACUAUUGAACGGUUCCCUUAUACAAUGAGAUGGACUAUGACCUCACGAUCUACCUUGUUGUGACCUUGCACCUUAUUGCACUGCACUUUCUCUGUAGCUGUGACACUUUACUCUGUACUGUUAUUGUUUUUACCUGUACUACAUCAAUGCACUCUGUACUAACUCAAUGUAACUGCACUGUGUAAUGAAUUGACCUGUAUGAUCGGUUUGUAAGACAAGCUUUUCACUGUACCUCAGUACAAAUGACAAUAAACCAAUACCAAUCUGUA
Molecule: long non-coding RNA, 1382 nt
Organism: Pristis pectinata (smalltooth sawfish)
Lineage: Eukaryota; Metazoa; Chordata; Chondrichthyes; Rhinopristiformes; Pristidae
Exons: 3
Source: RefSeq, a predicted model, not a curated record